This 257-nucleotide ribosomal RNA is filed under the name uncultured Pseudomonas sp. Its description in RNAcentral is "partial 16S ribosomal RNA". It matches the Rfam family "Bacterial small subunit ribosomal RNA", at positions 96 to 354 of the family's 1533-position model. The record is from RNAcentral. Lineage: Bacteria; Pseudomonadati; Pseudomonadota; Gammaproteobacteria; Pseudomonadales; Pseudomonadaceae.
CGGCGGACGGGUGAGUAAUGCCUAGGAAUCUGCCUGGUAGUGGGGGACAACUUUUCGAAAGGAACGCUAAUACCGCAUACGUCCUACGGGAGAAAGCAGGGGACCUUCGGGCCUUGCGCUAUCAGAUGAGCCUAGGUCGGAUUAGCUAGUUGGUGAGGUAAUGGCUCACCAAGGCGACGAUCCGUAACUGGUCUGAGAGGAUGAUCAGUCACACUGGAACUGAGACACGGUCCAGACUCCUACGGGGGGCAGCAGGA